This 1793-nucleotide long non-coding RNA is filed under the name Homo sapiens (human). RNAcentral's name for it is "PREDICTED lncRNA (TCONS_00193458)". Lineage: Eukaryota; Metazoa; Chordata; Mammalia; Primates; Hominidae. The record is from RNAcentral.
AGACAACCAGAUAUUCUGGCCAGACCAUGUCACUGACAGCUGCUGCAUGUGGCCUCAGCUCCCGGGAGACAACAUGCCUUCAGAAUUAGCUCGCUGGACCAGCCUGGAGCAUUCAGGCAGCUCCCCAACACCCUGCACACAAUGCCCAGACCCACUGGACCAGACAGACAGAGCCCGCCUCCAACAAGGGCACCCACCAGUGCUGAAUGGGAUCGAGUAGACGAAGCUCCCUGGAAUCUGCUCAGCGGCUCUUCGGUACCAGAGAGGGAAAUGGUCUGCGUUAAAAAUGUUCUCCUUGUCGCCAGCUUUCAGGAAGUCCCUUGAAGUGGAAAAGAAUCAGAAGAACAUGCAUCACUCAGCAGAGUAAAGGUGGGCCUGGAGCACCCCGACAGCCUUCAUCAGACAUGAAAUUCUUCAUAAACCUGACCUGGACGGUGUGAGGAGGAGCCUCUGUUGCCUGGCCCAUGGCAGGAUGCAUUGCUACUCUCUACCCUGGGUCACAGGUGCAGCCACGACUGAGCAGAAGGUGUUCGCACUCCCAGCAGGUCUGUUCAGUGGUCAUUACAGCUAAGAGGUGCCCUGUCUAUGCAGCACAGGUUAAUGAUGCCCACAGGGGACCUUUUUCCAGAGUCAUGGUAGAUGAGAUGGUGGCUUGGUUAGAAGGUAUGAAGUGGUCCUCACUUAAGGCAGUGACAUUCAGGCUUUGGGGGUGGCUGGCAAUAGAUCUGGAAUGCUGCACAUCUGGGUGUCCAGUGCCCUGCUGCCCGGGACAGUGCUGGCACCUAGGGCAGCCAGCAGGAGCCUGCAGCACUUGAUCCCCAUUAGCCCUGGUGUCACUGCGAAAGGACUGAGUUGCCGGGAAACCCUGGAGGCCUCUGCCAACUACUAGGCAGCAAUUCUGGAGGAAACAGGAAGGAGCAACCUGAUUUUACAGAAUCCCAAAAAUGUUCUUCAGGAAGAAAGAUCCUUCUGGGUAAGGUGAAAGUCUCCUCCUGGAUACUAGGAGCUAUUGCAGUGGUGUGUCAGGCUGGUCUAGAUUCUGGGAAGAACUGGGUGACUCUGAGUGAGUAAUUGAGUCUCCGACCCCCAUUUACUCAUCUACAAAAUGGGAACAAUAAAAACGCUGCACUUUACCAGGGUUGUAUCAGAAUUACAUAACACCAUAUGUGAAAGAGUGUUAUGGACACUGAAAACAGGCUCUAACAAAUAUAUGGGAUUCUUAAAGCCCAAGAGCUCUUUUGUUCUUGGUGGUUGAAAGGGCAGGGGUAAAGUGGUCAUCUUCUUAACUUAAGGCUGUACGCUGUGAAGGCUAACAUCACUGGAUGCUAUAUGCAUGUGAUGUGAGAAGUCGUACUGAAGGCACAGAAUGUAUUAUAACUAUUGGGGGUGACGGCCAAGUUUCAGUAUAAUCGACCUACUUCCAAAUGCAGGUGGCGGGGGUAUGGGAUGAAAUCUCAGUGUAGGAGACUGAUGAUAGUAUGAGAUAAUUGCAGGGUAGCAACUUUAUAUUAUCAAGUUCUCUGCCCAAUACUUAAAGCUCUGCCUUUCAUGCCCUAGUCAAAAGCAAAAACUAAACCAAAAGUCAGAAAUGCUAAAAACUUUCUAAGCCUGGCUUAGAGAGUGUAUCCAAAUAGCUGGAUCUUGACAAAUACCAUUUGAUGGGAGGGGAUAGGCAGGUAAGACCCUAAGACAAUAGAUGUCAAGGUGCCUCUAUAUGAAGCAAUGACAGGAGUUUCUUGAAGACAGAUUUCAUCCAUUCAAAUUGUCAAUGAGUACCCACUCUGUGGGUCACG